CUGGCCGUCUUGAUUCUGAUUCUGAUAGUUAGGGAGAGAAUGCUCAAGCUAGGGCUUUCCUUAAAUCGACCGGCUGAAUCUAAGAUGACUGAAAUCGCCGCAUGAGCCCUCAAUUCCUGCUACGUUGCCGAUUCUGCUCCUGAGAGCUAGGUUUUAUCGGCAUCGAAACGGAAUAGUUCUGCUAUGAACAGGAUUUUUGAUAACGUUUUGGCUUGUGCUUUCGAGGGAUUCCAUACAUUUCUUGGUAUUUGAAUUGAAAUUUUUUGACAUACCAUGUCGGGAAGAAAUCGUGGACCUCCUCUUCCAAUGAAAGGUGCUCCUCACGCUGGACUACCUCCUCCAAUGCAUGAACCUCCUUUUGGUGGCAGAGGGCUAGGGCCAUUGCCACACCCAGCUCUACUAGAAGAGAUGAGGGAAUCUCGGUUGGGCCCCAGGCCCCUUCCUCCUCACCCUGCUAUAAUUGAGGAGCGUCUUGCUGGUCAGCAUCAAGAAAUUCAAAGUCUCUUAGUGGAUAACCAGAGGCUGGCUGCAACUCAUGUGGCUCUGAAACAAGAACUGGAAGCGGCCCAGCAUGAGCUGCAGAGGAUGGCACAUUUUGCAGAGUCACUGAGGGCAGAGAAGGAUGUGCAGAUGAGAGAAUUGUAUGACAAGUCUGUCCGGAUGGAAGUGGAUCUUCGUGGGGUUGAAGCCAUGAGGUCUGAACUUCUUCAGGUUCAUUCUGAUAUUAAGGAGCUUACUGCUGUGAAGCAGGAACUCACCGGUCAGGUUCAACUAAUGACCCAAGAUUUAGCCAGGAUGACGGCAGAUUUGCAGCAGGUUCCUGCUUUGAGGGCAGAUAUUGAGGCUAUGAAACAAGAGUUACAGCGUGCAAGAGCUGCCAUUGAAUAUGAGAAGAAAGGGUAUGCAGAAAAUUAUGAACAUGGUCAGAUGAUGGAGCAGAAGUUGAUCACAAUGGCUCGGGAGCUGGAGAAGCUUCGUGCUGAGGUUGCUAAUGCUGAGAAAAGAGCACGUGCUUCUGUAGCUGUUGGGAAUCCAGGUCCAGGUUAUACUGCAAACUAUGGCAGUGCUGAGGUUGGGUAUGCUGGAAAUGCUUACCCGGUCAACUAUGUCAUGAAUCCUGUACAGUCUGGUGUGGAGAAUUACCCUCAGUAUGGGCCUGGACCUGGCACUUGGGGUGCGUAUGACAUGCAGCGAGCUCAAGGACACAGAUAGAUUUUUUCUAUCUUGCUAAGCAAUCUCAUAACUGUUGACGUCGCAAGGUGCUUGUAGUGACGGUGGAGCUAUGGCACACUGCACAGUGCAACAUUGAAGAUGGUGUACAUGAUAUGGUGAUAGAAGAAAAGCAAAACAGAAAAUAUGUUUGAAAACUAAGAUGUAGAUUUGUAGUAUGUGAUACUCUCGAAGCCUUUUAAUUAUAAACCCCAUCACUUUCAUCUUUAACUAGUUGUUUAGUUGCUUUCUGGAUAUUUGUGGUUCAUUGAGUUUUAAACGUGUUUCUGAAAACGUAGGCGUUGCAAGUGACCUAUUAACUUAAAUAUCUAUUUUAAUGCAUGAUAUGUCAAAUCACAGCGCAUCAGCUAAAUUAAACUGUCUUCAAAUAAUUCAUUGGCUUGAUUGUUAAGGAUUAAGCAUAUGAGGUAGCACAUAAAUAUGUAAUUUAAUUCUUGCAUCUGAGUCACAGAUAGUGAGCGUGAGAUAUAUGCUUAACACUUGUUAAUAAAUAAUAACUAAUGACGAGUGAAUGUAUGCUGCUGUACUAUUCUCUAGGAUUUGUCAAAAACUUAAAGAGUGCAAGUUGGCCAAUGCUGUGUACUGGCCAACACUAAUUCUAGCAUAUGGUGAAUAGGAGGAAAUAGAUGGCGAGAUAGAAUUUAUUAUAGAGGGAGAUGACUACUUUAUAGCGAAGCUCAAAAUAUAAGUACAAGCUCAUAGACUAUAUAUUUAAAAGCAUAUAAAUACAAUAUGUUGACACAUACAAGUAUUUAAAUGUCUUUAUAUCUUUUGAACUAUGUUGAAAUCAGUGGUAUUAUAAUUGCAUGGUUUAUGAUCUGAAUUUUAUAGUUCAUUCUGACAAGGCAGUCAACAAUACAGGUUGCUUGCAUGAUUCAAAAUGAGUGAGCAUUGUGGCCACAACUGUUAGAACAACUGCGCAUAUUUGUUUCUAUCUGAAUUGUUUGUGCUAUUCCAAUAGUCAGAGAAGACCUAGAUAUUUGUUUCCCCUCUUCAUUUUAAGCUGGGUUUGUGCAGUCUGACUUAGAAGGACAUGUUUAAUGCAUGUUCUGAACUAAUUUUUCCUUCUUUUGAUUUGGUAACUUGUUUCUGGGAAAUUUUACGUACUCUUUAGUGAACAACUACUACUGCCAUUUUAAGGAAAGGAUUAUCAGGUGGAGUUCAAGUCUUUUGCUCCUGCUUUAUGUGUGUGUCUGUGUUUAUUUGAUAUCUAUCACAAUUUCCCGACCUCCUUAGCCAAUACACUUUUAAGUGAUAGUUUUCCAGGCCUCCAUAUAUGGUUGUUGGCUUGUGCUUUUUUGUGUUUCUGGUUUUGUGGUCUUGAUUUUCUUGCUGUUGUCUGUUUGUGUUGGGCGUCUUAUUAUGUUCUCAUUUUGUCUUCUGAUAUAUCUUGAGGUCAUAAAGGUAAACCACUCUCCUCAUACUUUUUAGGGAAUCUAAUCUGAUUUAAUUUAGUGUAGUUAAUAGAAAAAAAAUAAGAAUGAAGUGAAACCUAUUUGUUGGUGUUGAUUCAGAAAUUAUCAUUUGAAGAAAGAAAUGGUGGAUUUAUUGAGCUAAGUUAGUUAAAAAAAUAAUGAAAUUAUGUUCCAGGUCAUUGAUCGAUAGAUAAAUAAUGUAGAAAAAAAUAGAUAAAAAAUGUACAAUGAGUGAAUGAGAAAAUAAAUUGUGAUGUUAUUGAACGGAAAAGCAACAAUUAAACUAUUAUUGAAUGGAUCAAACUGCUUCAAAUCAAAAUUGAAUAAUUAUUACCUGGCCCAAGAAAUAAUUUUUAAAUUACAAUUCAAUGAAGCCAUGGUUUCUUUAGGAGGAUUCUAUUAGUCUUUGUGAAUGGAUUGCUUAGCUCCAUUGAGCUUAUGCUCAAACUGGAUCUUCUACGUUCAUGUAUUCAUGUGUUGGAGAAGAGAGUAACGCAGGAUAUGACUGUAUAUGAGUUCCACUUCUCAUUUUACAUCUGUAGUCUUUUUAUUUUCAGUGUCUCCUUGAAAACAUUAUAUAUUCACUUUUGUAAUUGUAGAGGAUCUAGAUUGCCCUGUGCUAUCUCGUCUUAGUUGAUAUCAUACUCCUAAUUUAGCGUUUGGUUCUCUAUCCUCUUUUAAAUAAACCUUCUGCAUAUGUUGUUUAUGUGUUAGUGUGGGAAUAUAAGGUUACUCAGGGUCAUAGUUGUGAAUCUCCAGCGUUAGAUUUUAUGUAAAUAUUGGUUUCCUGGAAGGAAAGGAAAGAACUAAAAGGUCUGUGUCUGUUGAAUUGUAUUGAAGGUGUGCAAUCUGUGUAGGGCCUGCUCAUCAAGUUACCUGCUUAAAAUUGUAGCUUGAUAUUUUGUUGUACUGUCACAUAGAGAAGGGUCUGCUGAAUGUAAACUGCUGUUGAGUUACCAAUGCCCUUGUGGCAUAGUGGCAUGGCAGAAACUCCUCUAUAAGUGGGGCGUCAUGGGUUUGAUUCUGCUCAUUAUCUCAAGCUGUUAGCUUGCUCGUGUAAUCCAAAUGUGUGUCUGAAUUUAAAUUUUUGAGAAAUGCCUCUUUUGUUGGAAGUUUACAAUUUUGAAAUAUGUGCUACUGCUGCCUCCUACCCCCUCCUUAUAAAGCCUUUUUUUAAGAGAAUUGGGAGGAGCCUUAAUAUAUGGCAACAUCUUUGAGGUGAGAUUUUCCUUGGCGCUUUAUUUUAUUAAUCUUUUUGUGUGGCACUCCCCUCCCCCUUUCCUUAGGGGUCACGUAUUCAGAGAACUCUACCUUUACUACAAUGAUUUGCAUAGCCCUUUUAAAAGAUCAAAUGUUCUGCACAGGCCAUUAAAUUAUCAGUUGAACACUUGAAUAUUCUUUAACGUUACAAACUCAGUAUUUCCCAAGAAUCUUUCAAGCAUUAUAGCUGUCAAGUUUGAUAUUCAUGUUAUUAUCAACCAAUAAAAUUUUCUUUCUUAAAAUGUGUGCCUUUUUACCAAGUAAAUACGUUCCCUUCCUUAGGAUCAUUUUUAUUUACAAAACCAAUUUUAUUCUUUGAUUUCUUUCAGCUAAUUAUUUAUGAUGAGUGACCUGGCAAUUGUGGCAAAUCCACAUUUUCUACUAGGUAUUAUUAAGCCCAGUUAGCUGCUCUAGUUCCAGAUUGUGGAAGCUAUACAUCGAAUUGCAGGCUAAUUUCUUAUCUUUUCCUGUGGCAAUCUUGGAACUGAAGAACACCUUGAGUGGUUUUUCUGCCCACUGUAAGCCUGUCUUUUCUGUUCUGUGGUAGAGCCCAUUUUCUCUUAGCUUCUCUCAUUUUAUUCUGAAGUUAGAGUUUCCAGAAGCUGAGUAAAUCUAAUUUGUAUCCGUGGAUAUGCCUCAUGUUUCUUAUCUCAGACUAGUCUAGGAGUUGUUUUACCAAUUUGGGUCUAGAUAAACUGGCAAGACAUUGAUGUGAAAUUAUUGGAAGAAAAUUUCCAAUUGUUGGGUUUUUAGUUGUAAAGUACAAUUCUCUCUCUCCUUCACGAGUUUGGUGUGAGGCUGCAUUGAAGGAGUAUUAUGUUCUAUUGGGAAGUUUUUUUCCAUUUCUGAAGCAGCCAAGCAUAUUUGUAGCAUGACGCUGUUACUGGAAAGAUACAUUCAACACUGGAGCAGCCGAAUGUGGUUCUUAGUUGAGUUUAUGUGAUGUCCAGACGUGUAGUUGGAUCUGUUGUAACUUGUGAGUAGAUCAAUUGAUGCGCUGAAGGGGAGCUUUUGAUUGUUCAAGUUUGUAGUGAUUGUUUAGAGGUCACGUUAAUUUCUUCUCCAAAUUCCAUAUCUCUUGGCAAGGAUUUUUAAUUGAUGUUUACUAAUUAAGAUUGAAGUAGUUGACAAUGAAUUUUUUCCCCAUAAUAUAACAAGUUGAUUAUUCAGAGGUGUGACCUUGAUCUCUUAUCCAAAUUCCAGAUCUCGGCCAGGAUAUCUUGUUAAUUAUAACAGUAGGUUCAUGAGUGCGGUAAGUGAUCUUUGCUAAUUUGUUUAAGGCAUGACAAUUUGCUAACCUUGUUUUUUUUUGUCCUGUUUUGCUGCUGAGUACUGGCCUUGCCACCUAACUAGGAAAGAAGAAAUAAAUAAAGUUCUUGGAAUGAUUGUUAUGAAAAAGCCUUGUCAGUUCUGUUGUCAGUCAUGGCAGUUACUGAGAAGCUAUGAGCAAGUGUUGCUCGCCAAGUUAUCUGCAUUGUUGUAUGUGCUGUAGUUCAAUGAAAUGUCUUCUUUCAUCUUCUCUUACAAAUCCAUCUGCUCUGCCCGAUCUAUAUGUGAGAUCUUCAUAUUAUAGAAACUUAGCUGCUACUAAGUCUAUUCACCUUGAAUGACACGCUUUCCUGAUCUAAAUAUUAUAGCAGUAGCAGCUUAACUGCUAUUCAAACUUAUGUCCUGAAGAGCAUGUGUUUUACUGAUCUAUAGAUGAUGACUACACAUCAUAGCAGCUUAACUGCUAUUCAAACUUUUGUGGCACGUUCAGAGCAUUUGUUUCCUGACAUUGUAUAUUUAGAAGUUUUUGGUUAUGAAAGCCCAUUCAGCCUGCUUUUAUUUUAGUUUCUAUCCGCCUGACUGCCUGUUUUGUUCUAGAAUUAUGUGAUCCUUUUCCUGUUUCUUAGAGUGUGCUUUAUUGUGACAGUUGAAUGAUUUUUCUUUAAGGGUUAUGGCCAUUGGAACCUGUGAACUAUCUGUUGCUGCUGCUCUCCUUAUGAGUCACUUUUGAACAUUGUCAGGUACUCAGGAAAAUUGCUACCAUGGAUGAUUGUUGGAAAUGAAGCUGUUUGACUCAGGUGUUGCUAGGAAGAUGCAGUGAUUGAAAUGCUCAAUGUCAAUGGAUACAAGACCCAUUAAGUUAUAUCCGGUGUCCAUUUGAUGAGGUUUUCCUACAAAGGCCCAGGGGGGAAAAAAACUGGUUAUCAAGACAACCUUCUGAGAAAAAACCACAAGCUACUCUGGGAAUUUCAUGGAUCACAUUAUGUCAUUGUCUUAAAAAAGAGCACAAGGAGAAGUCAGGUCAAGUGUUAUUGAGGCUACAAGUACUGCUUAUGAUGCUUGGUUGCUUUGUAAAAGUAUUACAAGGGUCGUUCUGUAAUAUCCCAUGAGUACAGUUGGAGAAAGAUUGAUAAUUUUCAAUGUUGGGAGAGGGCUUUAGAAUGAUUGAUAACCUCCAUUGUUGGCUCAACAUUUGUGAAUGUCGAUUCUGACCCUAAUCAUACAAGUAUAAACACUUUCAAAGUUUA
This is an RNA transcript of Prosopis cineraria, 6421 nucleotides long. It is a transcript of the gene named protein FLX-like 1, with no coding region annotated. The transcript has 10 exons. NCBI's taxonomy places the organism in Eukaryota, Viridiplantae, Streptophyta, Magnoliopsida, Fabales, Fabaceae. The record is from RefSeq and is a predicted model, not a curated record.